Molecule: ribosomal RNA, 360 nt
Filed under: uncultured bacterium
Lineage: Bacteria
Description: partial 16S ribosomal RNA
Rfam family: Bacterial small subunit ribosomal RNA
Source: RNAcentral
UGGGGAAUAUUGCACAAUGGGCGCAAGCCUGAUGCAGCCAUGCCGCGUGUGUGAAGAAGGCCUUCGGGUUGUAAAGCACUUUCAGCGAGGAGGAAGGUGGUGAACUUAAUGCGUUCAUCAAUUGACGUUACUCGCAGAAGAAGCACCGGCUAACUCCGUGCCAGCAGCCGCGGUAAUACGGAGGGUGCAAGCGUUAAUCGGAAUUACUGGGCGUAAAGCGCACGCAGGCGGUUUGUUAAGUCAGAUGUGAAAUCCCCGGGCUCAACCUGGGAACUGCAUUUGAAACUGGCAAGCUAGAGUCUCGUAGAGGGGGGUAGAAUUCCAGGUGUAGCGGUGAAAUGCGUAGAGAUCUGGAGGAAU